ACUCCUACGGGAGGCAGCAGUGGGGAAUAUUGCACAAUGGGCGCAAGCCUGAUGCAGCAACGCCGCGUGAGUGAUGAAGGCCUUCGGGUCGUAAAGCUCUGUCCUCAAGGAAGAAUAAAUGACGGUACUUGAGGAGGAAGCCCGGCUAACUACGUGCCAGCAGCCGCGGUAAUACGUAGGGGGCGAAGCGUUAUCCGGAAUCACUGGGGCGUAAAGGGGUGCGUAGGCGGUUUUCAAGUCAGAAGUGAAAGGCUAUGGCUCAACCAUAGUAAGCUUUUGAAACUGUUAAACUUGAGUGCAGGAGAGGAAAGUGGAAUUCCUAGUGUAGAGGUGAAAUUCGUAGAUAUUAGGAGGAACACCAGUGGCGAAGGCGACUUUCUGGACUGUAACUGACGCUGAGGCACGAAAGCGUGGGGAGCGAACAGGAUUAGAUACCCUGGUAGCACAGAG
This 450-nucleotide ribosomal RNA is filed under the name uncultured bacterium. RNAcentral describes it as "bacterial SSU rRNA". It matches the Rfam family "Bacterial small subunit ribosomal RNA", at positions 335 to 799 of the family's 1533-position model. The record is from RNAcentral.